RNAcentral lists this transfer RNA (72 nucleotides) under Camelus bactrianus (Bactrian camel). It matches the Rfam family "tRNA". From Rfam's summary of the family: Transfer RNA (tRNA) molecules are approximately 80 nucleotides in length. Their secondary structure includes four short double-helical elements and three loops (D, anti-codon, and T loops). The record is from Rfam by way of RNAcentral. Lineage: Eukaryota; Metazoa; Chordata; Mammalia; Artiodactyla; Camelidae. RNAcentral also lists the same sequence under 2 other names.
GAGGGGAUAGCUCAGUGGUAGAGUGUGAGCCUAGCAGGCACGAGGUCCUGGGUUCAAGCCCCAGUUCCUCCG